RNAcentral lists this ribosomal RNA (604 nucleotides) under Paeniglutamicibacter antarcticus. RNAcentral describes it as "bacterial SSU rRNA". It matches the Rfam family "Bacterial small subunit ribosomal RNA", at positions 29 to 644 of the family's 1533-position model. The record is from RNAcentral. Lineage: Bacteria; Bacillati; Actinomycetota; Actinomycetes; Micrococcales; Micrococcaceae.
GGGGGCGUAGGGGGGGGCAUUAUAAUGCAAGUCGAACGAUGACUUUUGUAGCUUGCACAGAAUGAUUAGUGGCGAACGGGUGAUUAAAACGGGAGUAAGCUGGCCCUGGCUCUGGGAUAAUCCCGGGAAACCGGGUCUAAUACUGGAUAUGCACCGUGGACCGCAUGGUUCUUGGUGGAAAGAUUUAUUGGUCAGGGAUGGACUCGCGGCCUAUCAGCUUGUUGGUGAGGUAAUGGCUCACCAAGGCGACGACGGGUAGCCGGCCUGAGAGGGUGACCGGCCACACUGGGACUGAGACACGGCCCAGACUCCUACGGGAGGCAGCAGUGGGGAAUAUUGCACAAUGGGCGAAAGCCUGAUGCAGCGACGCCGCGUGAGGGAUGACGGCCUUCGGGUUGUAAACCUCUUUCAGUAGGGAAGAAGCGAAAGUGACGGUACCUGCAUAAUAAUCGCCGGCUAACUACGUGCCAGCAACCGCGGUAAUACGUAGGGCGCAAGCGUUAUCCGGAAUUAUUGGGCGUUAAGAGCUCGUAAGCGGUUUGUCCCGUCUGCCCUGAAAUUCGGGAGCUCCCCCUCGGAUCUGCUUUGGGUAUAGCCUUGCCGG